CCUCCUUUAAACUGUUAAGUGUGCAGAAAGUAGUUAUUGCCUGCUGCCUUUCUACCUGCACCAUGGCAGGGGCAGUGAACCUUGCUAUGCAUUUGCUCACAGGGUGACACAGAAGUGCUGCUCACCUUCUUGCUGCUGUAAGAGCUGUGACGAGCUGCACUGCCAGCCCAGUGGUGCUGGGCUGUGUGCAUGCACGCAACUGCCAGCAACUCACUGCCUGAGGAGUUGAGGCAGAAAAGGGUAAGGCACUGGUGUAUCAUCAUUAUGGCUGUUAUACAGAGGAGGAGAAAAGAUAGAGAUGAAGUGGAUGGCCCGAGGUCACCCUGAGGAGCUGGAGUCACUGUAAGGAACUGGAUCCCCCAUUUAACUUACAUCUCCAUCCCACAGUGCUCAGUGUUAAAAAAACACACAUUUUGCAGAUUUAUUUUACAGUUUAAUUUCCUCAUGCUGCUAGAACAAUGCCAGUCUCUGGCCGUGCUUGCUCCAUGUAACUUCAAGGUCUCUGACAACUUGAGCAAACAAGGAAAACCACAAUCGAAGGAGAAGAGAACACUUUAUUGUCUGCUGUUGGCAGAUCACCCAAAGUCCCCUCCCAACUUAACAAGCAUUAAGCUUCAAUAAGACACAAGACACUUCAGAAAAAAACAUCGCCACAAGGCUAAUGAUGACAACAGCUGCCAGCAAACUUUCCAUUGCAAGCAAAAGGAAACAUGAAGGAGGAGAAGCCAAAGGGCUAUGGAAAAAAGGGCACCGAAAUGCAGUUAACGUCCAGCAGCAGGAUUGCAUUUGGCAACGCAUGCAUGCCUGUAAGCCAAACUUUCUCUGAUUAAAUGUUUCUGGCCAAAAAUCAGAAUUGGUAAGUAUAUUGCAUAUUGAACUCCUUUUCAAAAGCAUAAUGAGAAAGGAGGGGGAAUACUAUUCAGUUUAGGAAAACCUCGAUGGCACUGUAUUUUGAAACGUAGUUACUGAAAAACGUGGGAAGUGGUGGCUGACAGUGACAGGGCCCUAACCAGACUUUGCAAGAAAAAGUGGGCAAUACCACCAGGUGGCGCGUAAAGCCCAAAAUAAC
This is a long non-coding RNA of Neopsephotus bourkii (Bourke's parrot), 1069 nucleotides long. RefSeq lists it as uncharacterized. The record is from RefSeq and is a predicted model, not a curated record. Lineage: Eukaryota; Metazoa; Chordata; Aves; Psittaciformes; Psittacidae. The transcript has 3 exons.